CGGAAGUUUCGUAGUCCUGCGUCAGGAUGAACGCUAGCGACUAGGCUUACACAUGCAAGUCAGGGGGCAGCGGUAGAUCGAGCCUUGCUCAUUAUGCCGGCGACCGGCGCACGGGUGAGUAACACGUAUGCAACCUGCCCGUCGUCAGGGGGAUAAUCGUCGGAAACGGCGUCUAAUACCCCGUAUGAAGCUGGACGGCAUCGUCUGGUUUGAAAGAAUAUAGGAGGCGGAUGGGCAUGCGGCGCAUUAGCUGGUUGGCGGGGUAACGGCCCACCAAGGCAACGAUGCGUAGGGGUUCUGAGAGGAAGGUCCCCCACACUGGUACUGAGACACGGACCAGACUCCUACGGGAGGCAGCAGUGAGGAAUAUUGGUCAAUGGGCGAGAGCCUGAACCAGCCAAGUCGCGUGAGGGAGUACUGCCCUAUGGGUUGUAAACCUCUUUUGUCGGGGAGCAAAAGCCGGACGUGUCCGUCUGUGAGAGUACCCGAAGAAAAAGCAUCGGCUAACUCCGUG
Molecule: ribosomal RNA, 514 nt
Filed under: uncultured Bacteroidales bacterium
Lineage: Bacteria; Pseudomonadati; Bacteroidota; Bacteroidia; Bacteroidales
Description: bacterial SSU rRNA
Rfam family: Bacterial small subunit ribosomal RNA
Source: RNAcentral